Molecule: ribosomal RNA, 1007 nt
Filed under: Histiostoma blomquisti
Lineage: Eukaryota; Metazoa; Arthropoda; Arachnida; Sarcoptiformes; Histiostomatidae
Description: 16S ribosomal RNA
Rfam family: Archaeal large subunit ribosomal RNA (bases 651-953)
Source: RNAcentral
UUUAUUUAUAUAUUUAUUUAUAUAUUUAUUUAUUUUAUUUUUAAAAUUAUUUAUAUCUGUCUGUCAAGAUUUAAUAAUUUUUUUUUAUUACCUUUUGUAUAAGGUCUCUUAGAUGUUAUUAUUUUAAAUUUAUUAGAAAGUUUUAGAUCUUUGGUUUUAUUUUUAUUGUUUUAUUAUUUUAAAUUUUACCUAAGAAGUGAUAUGCUGCCGUUUUUUCUUAUAUCUAGUUAUUUAGUUCUUAGAGGGUAACCCUUUUAUUUUUUUAGUUUGAUUUUUUUAUUUUUUUUAUUAUCUUAAUAGUAGAUAAUUGUUUAAUAACAUUAUUUUUUACUUUCUAAUUUUUAUUUAGAUUUUUAUGAUAUAAUUUUAAUUAAGGUAUUAGUAGGUGUCUGUUAUUAUUUCCUUUAUUUUUCAUUUAUUUUGCUUUUAAACUAAAAUAAAUUUUACUCUUUAUUUUUCUAUAUGUUUAUUAAAAUCUUAGCUUAAUUUUUUUAAGUCUCUACUGCUCUAUGAAUAUUUAAUGGCUGUGAUUUCACACUAAGGUAGCGAGGUCAUUAGUUUUUUAACUGAAAACUUGUAUGAAUGUAGAAAUCGAAAAAUUAUUAUUUUUUUUUCUAAAAUUAUAUAUAUGUUGAAAAUAACAUUUUUUUCCCUAAGACAAAAAGACCCUAGAAUUUUUAUAAAUUUAUUUAUUUUGUUGGGGCAACUAUAAUUAUAAAAUAAUAAUAGUUUUUCUUUUUUUUGGACUUUUUUAGAUGGUUUUAAAAAUACUCUAGGGUUAACAGCUUCAUAGUAUUUUAUAGUUCUUAUAAUUAAUGCUGCUUGGGACCUCGAUGUUGGAUUAAUCUAUUUCUGUUAGGCGUAGAAGCUGUACCAGAUAGACUGUUCGUCUAUUAAAUUUUUACAUGAUCUGAGUUAAAGUCGGCGAGAGCCAGACUGGAUUUUAUCUAGGGAUUAAUUAUUAUCUUUUCAGUACGAAAGGACCUUUAGAAUAGAAUGUUUCUAGU